ACGAAACGCGAAGGAGAAGAAGAAAGGAGAAGAAAAAAAAAAAGGAAGAAAAAGAUUUAGCCGUCCGAUUCCAAUUCCGACUUGGGUGUACGUUGGAGGAGAUUUGGGUGAAGUUAUAAAAAUCCAGAAAGUAUCGGUAGGAGGUACGCAUGGCACCUCCGGGACAGGGGACGUCUCGGGAGAUAGAAA
Andrographis paniculata is the source of this 189-nucleotide long non-coding RNA. RefSeq lists it as uncharacterized. Lineage: Eukaryota; Viridiplantae; Streptophyta; Magnoliopsida; Lamiales; Acanthaceae. The transcript has 3 exons. The record is from RefSeq and is a predicted model, not a curated record.